This 1080-nucleotide long non-coding RNA is filed under the name Felis catus (domestic cat). Its description in RNAcentral is "lncRNA (ENSFCAG00000040164.2)". The record is from RNAcentral. Lineage: Eukaryota; Metazoa; Chordata; Mammalia; Carnivora; Felidae.
GAACUUUCAUCAGAUUUUCAAAAAUGCCUGUGACACACAAAAAAGGAUAGGAACCACUGACAUAGUAAAUCAUCAACAAGUUUACUGGAAAUUUUUGCUUGCCAGGUAGACUGCCUAAUGAAGCAGAAGGUCAUGAGAAAGUCAUUCUCCUUCUCUGACUUGCGUCUCCCUGGAGAACUACUGCCGGUAGCUACUGGGACCUCCUUCCCUAGGACUGGCACUGAGUGUCCCUGGAUCCAGCCCCGAAUGAGCUUUCUCUGGUUAUGGCAUGGAGGAGGGACUGGAGGGCAUUGAGACGGGACUGGCCGGGACACUGGCACAAUAGCCCAGGUGACAAAGGACGAAGGACAAAACAAGGAAGACCCUGACACAGGGCGAGUGAUGGACGGACUCUGAGAAUGAAGAAUAGUUGGGACCUGUCUGCUGAUGGACCAGAGGUGAGACAGGAGCCUGCAUUGCUUCUGUGUGUUCACGCCACGUAAGGGAGAGCAUGGGGAUUGCAGAGCCCCCCCUGCACCCCCCCCCAAGCCUGAGCAGUGGUUCAAAGUCAUCAAAUCUCAGUGUUCAUUAAACUUAUUCGGAAUUUCUUCUAUGGCAAUAGAAGGAUGAGUGCACCUGUUCCCUGGAGCUUUUGUAGGGACUGGUGGAUUGGUAUAUAUGAAAGCACCUAGGAUGUGUUAGCACGGGGUUCCCAGGUAAUGUUAAUUUCAUCCAUCCAGCUAUUUAUUCAAAUCCAUGCAAAUUUGGAAGGAAAUAAUUAGUCCCUUCAGGACCGUGUCAAACAUUUCAAAUUCAUUUCGGGUGAAGAGAUGACGGCCGAGGUGUCUCUGUGGGGUCAGCCCACUCCUGGUCACUGGGCUGGGCCACAGUUCAAGGCCCGAAACUUGUUUCUGGCAGCAUCAGGUCCCUUUCUUUCCCUUCCUUUCAUUACCACCCUCCCUCCCCCCGCCCCAGGCAGUCUACUUCUAGGUCUCUAGUGUAGAAAAUGACAGAAAGAAAGUCAAAAAGAAAGAAAGGCAGGAAGACAGGCAGGAAGGAAGGAAGGGAGGAAGCAAAGAAAGGCAGAAGGAAAACGAGCAU